Molecule: long non-coding RNA, 838 nt
Organism: Ceratitis capitata (Mediterranean fruit fly)
Lineage: Eukaryota; Metazoa; Arthropoda; Insecta; Diptera; Tephritidae
Exons: 4
Source: RefSeq, a predicted model, not a curated record
CGUUCAGUUCUGUGUGUACGGAAAACGCUAACGAUUUUUAAGUUUAUCCACACAAAAUACAUUCCAUACGUUUCGAUACGUUGUAUUUCGACUCAAAUGACAGCGUAACGGUAGUAGUGGUGGUGGUGGUGUUGUGUUUUGGAAAUCUCAUAAUUGAUAAUUGAGUGAAUAAUUGAUAAUUUGAGAAAGGCGUAAGAGUAGCUAAAAAGGUGCGUUUGACAGUUUUGUGUUGGCAUAUUGCAGUCGCUAACGCAUUUCAACGAUUACGUGACGUUGCAACAGAAAUUGAAAAAUUAUUUGCAUUUAAAAAACAACAAUCAAAAGCAAGCACAACAAAAACAACGCAACGCAAUCAAAGUGAAUGCAAAUGCAGAAGCAGCAGCAGCAACAACAACAACAACAACAUUGCCAUGCGCGAAAAUGCAAAUUUAUACGUUCGCGUUCGUGGAAUUGUUGAAUUUCCGAAUUUGAUUUUUGCAAACCCAUCGACGAUGUUUGACGAAUUGAGUUGUUAGUAUCGGUCAAUCGGUGUGUUUGGAGCGCGUAAAAAGUGAUUUAAACAUUAUUCGUUGCAAACGAACGUACAUAUAAUUCAUACAUACAUACAUACAUACAUGCAAAACAUAUCGACCGUGCUACAUUUGUUGUUGUUAUUUAUAGCUUUACUGCUAAAAAAUGGUUUAAUCCUCCUGCUUUAUGCAGCAUGCAAGUGUUGAAAACUAUUUGAAGCAUUCUCGAACUCGCGACUGAUAUUUUCAAAUCGGACGUGAUCAAAAAUACCAGUUAGCAACACUUGUAAGCCUUGAAGUAGAUAUAACAACAACAAAAACAACAAAAA